Molecule: ribosomal RNA, 736 nt
Filed under: uncultured Bifidobacterium sp.
Lineage: Bacteria; Bacillati; Actinomycetota; Actinomycetes; Bifidobacteriales; Bifidobacteriaceae
Description: bacterial SSU rRNA
Rfam family: Bacterial small subunit ribosomal RNA
Source: RNAcentral
GAUGAACGCUGGCGGCGUGCUUAACACAUGCAAGUCGAACGGGAUCCAUCAAGCUUGCUUGGUGGUGAGAGUGGCGAACGGGUGAGUAAUGCGUGACCGACCUGCCCCAUACACCGGAAUAGCUCCUGGAAACGGGUGGUAAUGCCGGAUGCUCCAGUUGAUCGCAUGGUCUUCUGGGAAAGCUUUCGCGGUAUGGGAUGGGGUCGCGUCCUAUCAGCUUGACGGCGGGGUAACGGCCCACCGUGGCUUCGACGGGUAGCCGGCCUGAGAGGGCGACCGGCCACAUUGGGACUGAGAUACGGCCCAGACUCCUACGGGAGGCAGCAGUGGGGAAUAUUGCACAAUGGGCGCAAGCCUGAUGCAGCGACGCCGCGUGAGGGAUGGAGGCCUUCGGGUUGUAAACCUCUUUUAUCGGGGAGCAAGCGAGAGUGAGUUUACCCGUUGAAUAAGCACCGGCUAACUACGUGCCAGCAGCCGCGGUAAUACGUAGGGUGCAAGCGUUAUCCGGAAUUAUUGGGCGUAAAGGGCUCGUAGGCGGUUCGUCGCGUCCGGUGUGAAAGUCCAUCGCUUAACGGUGGAUCCGCGCCGGGUACGGGCGGGCUUGAGUGCGGUAGGGGAGACUGGAAUUCCCGGUGUAACGGUGGAAUGUGUAGAUAUCGGGAAGAACACCAAUGGCGAAGGCAGGUCUCUGGGCCGUUACUGACGCUGAGGAGCGAAAGCGUGGGGAGCGAACAGG